ACAGAGCGAGACUCCGUCUCAAAAAAAAAAAAAGUUAUUGUUUUUAUAUUGUUAUUGUCCCUGGGAAUCUUUGCUAUCGGUGUACUGUGUACUUCCUGCCUACCUCUGAGUUUGUAAAGUAGGUAAAAGAGCAGAUGUGAUUGCUAAGAAUAUAGCAUUGACCUCUAUGUAAAAUUUAUAGGUUCUCACACAGAGUGCUGAGGCUUUUGAUCAGCAUCUUUGAAAGUAUUGCUUGUAUACAUUUCAAGUAAAAGAUCAUUCUAAUUAUUUCAUAGUCAUACUUUACAUGAAAGAGCUUUGUAAAUAAUUGGAAAAUCUUUAACAAGCUUUGAUUAAUAAUGCUGGCUUUAAUUUUAACUUCAUAUUAUUGUUUUCCAAAUGAUUUCCAUAAUAGAGACCAUGGUGGAUCUAAGCAUGAGAUUUUAAGUUCCUGCCUUUCAAAGGUGUGGCUAAAAACAAGGAGGAUAGAAAACACUGUGUGCUGUCAUGCCAAGCUCUCUGUGUAGGGACUUUAUCUUCACCAUUGCAUUUCAUCCUCAAAACAGCCCUGCAAGGUAAGUAUCUGUAUUUUAUAGAUGGGAAAAACUAAGAUUCAGAAAGUUUACAUAACUACAAAUCUGGUAAGAACUAGAGCCGAGAUCCAUUUCCUGCUCUGUCUUUUCUCACAGUUGUUGCUACAAGGCCACUGAGCUGACUCACCACCCCGGGAGUCAGUGAAGGCUUCCCCGAGGAAGCAGUGUUUGAGCUGAGCCUUGAAACAGAAGUAAGAAGACUCCAGGAGAAGGCUGCAGUAGAGGCUAGAGCUAUUUUUCCUGGCAACAGACCCAGAGAGAAGCUCAACACUUGGAGUAUGAAAGGAGAGUUGGAAAGAAAUCAACUGUGGAAUAACUGCGUGAGUCAUAGUCCAUGUUCUCCUUCCCUGCAUCACAUGCUCAGGCUAAAACCAGAGGACUAAUAUUUAAAAUAAUUGAAUAGUCUUCGUGAGAAGGAGCCCUAGUUGGGGUGAUGCCUCAUCUGAGUAAACUUCUUCCCACUUUUGCUGGGAAGUGGGAGAAGUAGGGAGGGGGACCUCCAACCUCCUCUUCUUUCACUACAAGGUCUAAAGCAAAGGCUGCCAGUGACAGCCACUUGUGUAGACAAGAGAGAGCUGGACAAGGCCGAGCUAUCUGCAUUGAAUGAGGUGACUUACCUCAGUUGUAGGUAUGAAUCUAUAGCCAAGGAUUAUGAAAACCUGAAGAAAAAUGAGGACAAAAGAGCAGGUUGAGAGAAAAAAUACCCUGACUCUGGAGGAAAUAGAUAAUUCAGGACAUAGAAAAUUCUUUAUUCUAUGUAGUAUCCUCAUGGAAACAAAGUCGAGAGAAAGCAUUUUUAGUGCAAAAUUAGAUUGCUAAGAAAGAACAACUAAAACAAAAUAAAUAGUUAUUAAAAUGAAAAAGUAAUUGUUAAAGUUAGAAAUUCAAGGGAAGACCUGGGAGAAAAAGUUGAAGAAACUGCUCUAAAUGUAGUGCAAAAAGAUAAAGGAUGGAAAAUGUGGGAGAAAAGUGAAGAGAUUAGAGAAGCAUCCAAAGGGAUGUUCAGAAAGAGACAAAACAAAGAAUAAGAGAGAAUUUUCCAUAAGUGAGGAAAUAGGACUUGAGAUUGUAAGAACCCUAGAGAAUGCAAAAUAGGAUGAAUGAACAAACUUAGCCCAAGGCACAUUCUUGUGACAUUUUAGAUAUUGAGAAUAAAGGGAAGAGUCUAAAAGCCAAAAGAAUAGAUUACUCAGUGAGAAUCCAAUUGGUAUUAGAUAGAUCAUCAGCAACUGUAAAUGCUAAGAAAAACAAAACAAGAAGCAUGCCUUCAAAAUGUGUAAAAUAAAGUUUUUUGAACCUAAAAUUCUCUACUUAGCCAAACUAUCAAUCGAUCAAGAGUGAGGCAUUUUCAAGCAUGCAAGAACUCAGACCAUUUACCACCCACAGACUAUUUCUGAAAGAAUUACUGAAGCAAAACAAAAAAGAAUCCAAGUAGGAGGAAGCCAUGGCCUCUAAGGAACAGUGGAUCUCACCCAAGAUUGUAAUGAAAUAUAAUUCCAGGAUGACAACCUUGAGGCAGGCCUAGAAAGCCAUCAGUCUGAAUUAGAACCAGAAGUCAGAUGCUCUGUGAAGAAUCUCUUUCAGGAGGACAUGGAUUUCUUCUAUAAAUUGAAUGACUGAGAAGCUGAGUGGUCUUGUGACAAGGCAAAGGCAUGGUAGGUCAUUGUGAUAAGGUAUCAUCCAAACACUCUCCAAACUGUGAAGUAAUUUUCUUCUUCCAAUAGCAAAGGUUUAUUGACAAGAGUUACGUCUCCUCUAUAGGCUCAAGGGCACAGCUGUGCUUGGUUCUGCAGUGAACAAUGAUCUCCCUACGAAUAUUAUGAAUGCUACUUUUCAGUUUUCAGUUUAAAAAAUCAAUUUAUAGACAAUGCAUCAAAGAUUAAUUGUAGUUAUAGGACAAGUGUGAAAACAAUAGUACACUGGAAUGGAGGUUAGGAGAGAGGGAAGGAGCAAAGGAACAAGAUGUAAUGAUGUUGGAUUCUUUUCAUCAGAAAUAAAAAGAAUUAAGAGAUA
Molecule: long non-coding RNA, 2585 nt
Filed under: Homo sapiens (human)
Lineage: Eukaryota; Metazoa; Chordata; Mammalia; Primates; Hominidae
Description: HSALNT0368948
Source: RNAcentral